This 60-nucleotide ribosomal RNA is filed under the name Symbiodinium sp. clade C ex Stylophora pistillata. RNAcentral describes it as "partial 5.8S ribosomal RNA". Lineage: Eukaryota; Dinophyceae; Suessiales; Symbiodiniaceae. The record is from RNAcentral.
UUUAAUGGACNCCCUGAACGUGCGUUGCACUCUUGCGAUUUCCUGAGAGUAUGUCUGCUU